Phalacrocorax carbo (great cormorant) is the source of this 752-nucleotide non-coding RNA. NCBI's taxonomy places the organism in Eukaryota, Metazoa, Chordata, Aves, Suliformes, Phalacrocoracidae. The record is from RefSeq and is a predicted model, not a curated record.
CAGAAGGUGAUUCCAAGUGCUCCUGCUAGCUUUUCAGAGGUAGAACAACAAGGUGGGAGAGAACACAUGCAUGGAGGGAAUAGUGAGGAAAUCCCUUCUGAAGUUUAUUAACUUGACUCCUUUGGGUCUACUGGAAAAAGAAGUGAUGCCUUGCGUUGGUUACAGUGCGGUAACCAGUAGACCAGAGCCUUUUCUGUGUAAAGUGGUGAACAUUCAAAGACCUACCACAUGAAGUCCCAGUCCUGCAAUCAGACAUGCGGGGAGAGCUUCCCAUGUGUCCAGAAGCCCACUGCAGCCAACAGAAACAUAAAAGAUCACUUUGGAAGUGUUCUUGGAGCAGGAAUUCUGCAGAGAGUGUGCAAAGAGGUUGGCGUAGGACAGCAAGAAGCCUCAGGCAGAGGUGUCCUCCCAGGCAUAUGCCAGUGCGGUCAGGAAGAGCCCUGCUUCUCUUGGUUGUAGCAGCAGCAACUCACAGCAACAGUUAAGUUUACAAGCUUCCUCAAGUGCCUGGCCUGAAGCUGAACUCCAGGAUCAUCUCACAGUGUUCUGGUGUCGGUGGUCACCUGGGGGCUAGAAAGCCUGGGGAGCAAAUGAAGAAUAAGAUGGCUAGCAUGUGUGAGUGACUGCAGAGGAGACCAAAGGAGGAGGGUAGAGAGCUGGAUUAAGUGCUGCCUGUUACCUUGAAAAGCCUCAGAAGGGAACGGUUGCAAGGAUUAAAAAUUAAUGUGAUUAUUUUAACAAAUCAUGUUGAG